Non-coding RNA from Gossypium raimondii (Peruvian cotton), 119 nucleotides. Lineage: Eukaryota; Viridiplantae; Streptophyta; Magnoliopsida; Malvales; Malvaceae. The record is from Rfam.
GGGUGCGAUCACAACAGCAUUAAUGCACCGGAUCUGAUCAGAACUCCGCUGUUAAGCGUGCAUGGGCGAGAGUAGUACUAGGAUGGGUGACCUCCUGGGAAGUCCUCGUGUUGCACCCC